This is a long non-coding RNA of Anolis carolinensis (green anole), 903 nucleotides long. RefSeq annotates it as alpha-internexin. The record is from RefSeq and is a predicted model, not a curated record. The transcript has 3 exons. Lineage: Eukaryota; Metazoa; Chordata; Lepidosauria; Squamata; Anolidae.
UAAAAGCGGCUGCCGGCGCCUCAGCGAGCGCAGAAGUGUAUGGAGGCGGCUGCCGAGAGGUUCUCCGGCAUGGCGGCCCUUAACGACCGCUUGUCGGGGAAGAGGGAGGCCGAGACGUUACGGACUCCGAGCAGGAGCAGCCGCCGCCCGCCGGGGCCGUUCCGUCGCGAGGCGGCCUUCCUCCGGAAGCUGCGCCUUGAAGGACGGGCCGAACCGGAAGCAGGGGGAAACCGGAAGUGUCCCGCCGAGGGCGGCGAGGCCUUGCCUGAGGCGCUGAGGGAGAUCCGCGCCGAGUACGAAGGCCUGGCGGCGCGGAACCGGGCGGCGGCGGAGGAGUGGCGCCGGUCCGCCUUGGCCUCGGAGGCCCGAAGCGCGGCCAGGAGCCGGGAGGCCCUGCGCGGGGUGCGGAGGGAGGCCUUACAGUACCGGGCGAAGCGCCAGGCCCGCGCCGGGGAAGCCGAGGGGCUCCGCCGCCGCAUCAAAGGCCUCCAGGCCCGCCUCCGGGAGCUCCACGGCCAACAGGCAGGGCAGCUAGGCCGCAAACAGGAGAGGGUGGCCGAACUCGAAGAAGAGAUCUCUGAGGCCAAGGAGGAGAUGGGCAGAUACCUGCAGGAGUACCAGGAGCUGCUGAAGGUCAAGAUUGCGCUGGACGUGGAGAUUGCAGCCUACAGGAAGCUUCUGGAGGGGGAGGAGAUGUGGUGGAGCGCUGUGACUUGGCCGGAUGCAACCAAGUGACCCUCCUGACGUCUCCUGCCCCCUUGUCUGGUUCAUCUCCAUUGGCAUCUCCAUCUCCCCUUUCCCCCUUUAAGAUGCUCAGGGUCUCCCCUUUCUUGGCAGGUGGCUCGUGCCCCGAUGGCCUGGGAACUGGGAGCUUCCUGUGGGCCAGAGAUAACGGCAUAUGAA